AACGAACGCUGGCGGCAUGCCUAAUACAUGCAAGUCGAACGAGAUCUUCGGAUCUAGUGGCGCACGGGUGCGUAACGCGAGGGAAUCUGCCCUUGGGUUCGGAAUAACAUCUGGAAACGGAUGCUAAUACCGGAUGAUGACGUACGUCCAAAGAUUUAUCGCCCAGGGAUGAGCCCGCGUAGGAUUAGCAAGUUGGUGGGGUAAAGGCCUACCAAGGCGACAAUCCUUAGCUGGUCUGAGAGGAUGAUCAGCCACACUGGGACUGAGACACGGCCCAGACUCCUACGGGAGGCAGCAGUAGGGAAUAUUGGACAAUGGGGGCAACCCUGAUCCAGCAAUGCCGCGUGAGUGAUGAAGGCCUUAGGGUUGUAAAGCUCUUUUACCCGGGAUGAUAAUGACAGUACCGGGAGAAUAAGCCCCGGCUAACUCCGUGCCAGCCGCCGCAGUAA
Molecule: ribosomal RNA, 449 nt
Filed under: uncultured bacterium
Lineage: Bacteria
Description: partial 16S ribosomal RNA
Rfam family: Bacterial small subunit ribosomal RNA
Source: RNAcentral